UUGCCGUGUCAGAGAUGCUGACUCGACUGAUCUUUCAACACCAACUCCGAUAAAUGUCUUUAGAAAUGUGCAAAAUAAAAGUAACUGAAGCUGGUGCUUCUGACAGCUGAAAAACGAUCUAAGGCCAUGAUACAGCCAUCUAGCGU
Long non-coding RNA from Daphnia pulicaria, 146 nucleotides. RefSeq lists it as uncharacterized. The transcript has 3 exons. Lineage: Eukaryota; Metazoa; Arthropoda; Branchiopoda; Diplostraca; Daphniidae. The record is from RefSeq and is a predicted model, not a curated record.